RNAcentral lists this ribosomal RNA (593 nucleotides) under Bacillus sp. AS2(2016). RNAcentral describes it as "bacterial SSU rRNA". It matches the Rfam family "Bacterial small subunit ribosomal RNA", at positions 97 to 674 of the family's 1533-position model. Lineage: Bacteria; Bacillati; Bacillota; Bacilli; Caryophanales; Bacillaceae. The record is from RNAcentral.
GGCGGACGGGUGAGUAACACGUGGGUAACCUGCCUGUAAGACUGGGAUAACUCCGGGAAACCGGGGCUAAUACCGGAUGCUUGAUUGAACCGCAUGGUUCAAUUAUAAAAGGUGGCUUUUAGCUACCACUUACAGAUGGACCCGCGGCGCAUUAGCUAGUUGGUGAGGUAACGGCUCACCAAGGCAACGAUGCGUAGCCGACCUGAGAGGGUGAUCGGCCACACUGGGACUGAGACACGGCCCAGACUCCUACGGGAGGCAGCAGUAGGGAAUCUUCCGCAAUGGACGAAAGUCUGACGGAGCAACGCCGCGUGAGUGAUGACCAGCAGCCGCGAGGUUUUCGGAUCGUAAAACUCUGUUGUUAGGGAAGAACAAGUACCGUUCGAAUAGGGCGGUACCUUGACGGUACCUAACCAGAAAGCCACGGCUAACUACGUGGUAAUACGUAGGUGGCAAGCGUUGUCCGGAAUUAUUGGGCGUAAAGCGCGCGCAGGCGGUUUCUUAAGUCUGAUGUGAAAGCCCCCGGCUCAACCGGGGAGGGUCAUUGGAAACUGGGGAACUUGAGUGCAGAAGAGGAGAGUGGAAUUCCACGU